Molecule: transfer RNA, 85 nt
Filed under: Alphaproteobacteria bacterium
Lineage: Bacteria; Pseudomonadati; Pseudomonadota; Alphaproteobacteria
Also listed under: 5 other names
Description: tRNA-Leu
Rfam family: tRNA
About the family: Transfer RNA (tRNA) molecules are approximately 80 nucleotides in length. Their secondary structure includes four short double-helical elements and three loops (D, anti-codon, and T loops).
Source: RNAcentral
GCGGGCGUGAUGGAAUGGUAGACAUAACGGACUUAAAAUCCGUGGGCCCUAGGCCGUGGGAGUUCAAGUCUCCCCGCCCGCACCA